RNAcentral lists this ribosomal RNA (2886 nucleotides) under Clostridioides difficile. Its description in RNAcentral is "bacterial LSU rRNA". It matches the Rfam family "Bacterial large subunit ribosomal RNA". The record is from RNAcentral. Lineage: Bacteria; Bacillati; Bacillota; Clostridia; Peptostreptococcales; Peptostreptococcaceae. RNAcentral also lists the same sequence under 3 other names.
UUAAGGGUGCAGGGCGGAUGCCUUGGCACUAGGAGCCGAUGAAGGACGUGAUAAGCUGCGAUAAGCUUCGGGGAGUUGCACGUAAACUUUGAUCCGAAGAUUUCCGAAUGAGGAAACUCACUUAGAGUAAUGUCUAAGUAUCAUUAAGUGAAUACAUAGCUUAAUGAGGGGAACUCAGGGAACUGAAACAUCUAAGUACCUGAAGGAAGAGAAAGAAAUUCGAUUCCGUAAGUAGCGGCGAGCGAACGCGGAUUAGCCCAAACCAAUAAAGUUUUCUUUAUUGGGGUUGCGGACAUAUCAUAACGAAGAGGUAUCGUAAUUGAAGAGGUUUGGAAAGACCCACCACAGAAGGUAAUAGUCCUGUAUGUUAAACGAGAAGACUUCAGAUAUGAUCCAGAGUACCACGGGACACGUGAAACCCUGUGGGAAGCAGGAGGGACCACCCUCCAAGGCUAAAUACUACCUAGUGACCGAUAGCGUAUAGUACCGUGAGGGAAAGGUGAAAAGAACCCCGGGAGGGGAGUGAAAUAGAACCUGAAACCCUGCACUUACAAGCUGUGGAAGCACAUUUCUUGUGUGACCGCGUACUUUUUGUAGAACGGGCCAACGAGUUACGUUAAGUAGCAAGGUUAAGCACUUAAGGUGCGGAGCCGUAGCGAAAGCGAGUUUUAACUGAGCGUUCAGUUACUUGACGUAGACCCGAAACCGGGCGACCUACCCAUGAGCAGGAUGAAGCGAAAGUAAAAUUUCGUGGAGGUCCGAACCCACGAGCGUUGAAAAGCUCGGGGAUGACUUGUGGGUAGCGGUGAAAUUCCAAUCGAGCCCGGAGAUAGCUGGUUCUCCCCGAAAUAGCUUUAGGGCUAGCCUCAAGGUGAGAGAUACGGAGGUAGAGCACUGAAUGUCCUAGGGGGUAUUGCACCUACCGAAGACUAUCAAACUCCGAAUGCCGUCAUCUUAUACUUGGGAGUCAGACUGUGGGUGAUAAGAUUCAUAGUCGAAAGGGCAACAGCCCAGAUCGUCAGCUAAGGUCCCUAAAUGUAAGUUAAGUGGUAAAGGAUGUGGGAUUGCACAGACAACCAGGAUGUUGGCUUAGAAGCAGCCACUCAUUCAAAGAGUGCGUAAUAGCUCACUGGUCGAGUGAUCCUGCGCCGAAGAUUUCCGGGGCUAAAACUUACUACCGAAGCUACGGCAUCAGUAAUGAUGGGUAGGGGAGCUUCCCAUACGGGUUGAAGCAUGACCGUAAGGACAUGUGGACAGUAUGGGAGUGAGAAUGUUGGCAUGAGUAGCGAGAUGUGGGUGAGAAUCCCACAGGCCGUAAACCCAAGGUUUCCAGGGGAAGGUUCGUCCGCCCUGGGUUAGUCGGAACCUAAGCUGAGGCCGAAAGGCGUAGGUGAUGGACAACAGGUUGAUAUUCCUGUACUACCGAUAACCAUUUGAGAGAAGGGAUGACACAGUAGGAUAAGCUAAGCACACUGUUGGUUAUGUGUGCCCAAGCAUUGAGGCAGUCAAAGUAGGCAAAUCCGCUUUGAUAAUGCUGGGAUGUGAUGGGGAGCGAAAUUUAGUAGCGAAGUAGCUGAUUUCACACUGUCAAGAAAAGUCUCUAUCGAGGUUAAAGGUACCCGUACCGCAAACCGACACAGGUGGGUGAGGAGAGUAUCCUAAGGCCAGCGAGAGAACUGUUGUUAAGGAACUCGGCAAAAUGACCCCGUAACUUAGGGAUAAGGGGUGCCACCAUCAGGUGGCCGCAGAGAAUAGGCCCAAGCGACUGUUUACCAAAAACAUAGGUUUCUGCUAAGUCGCAAGACGAUGUAUAGGAGCUGACGCCUGCCCGGUGCUGGAAGGUUAAGGGGAUCUGUUAGAGCAAUCGAAGCAGUGAACUUAAGCCCCAGUAAACGGCGGCCGUAACUAUAACGGUCCUAAGGUAGCGAAAUUCCUUGUCGGGUAAGUUCCGACCCGCACGAAAGGCGUAACGAUUUGGGCACUGUCUCAACAACAGACUCGGUGAAAUUGUAAUUCCGGUGAAGAUGCCGGAUACCUGCGACAGGACGGAAAGACCCCAUGGAGCUUUACUGUAGCUUGACAUUGGGUCUUGGUACUACAUGUACAGGAUAGGUGGGAGGCUUUGAAACCAGGACGCCAGUUUUGGCGGAGCCAUCCUUGGGAUACCACCCUUGUAGUACUGGGACUCUAACCAUAGGCCAUGAAUCUGGUCUUGGGACACUGUCAGGUGGGCAGUUUGACUGGGGCGGUCGCCUCCCAAAAGGUAACGGAGGCGCUCAAAGGUUCUCUCAGUACGGUCGGAAAUCGUACGUAGAGUGUAAAGGCAAAAGAGAGCUUGAUUGCAAGACAUACAGGUCGAGCAAGGAUGAAAAUCGGACUUAGUGAUCCGGUGGUUCUGCGUGGAAGGGCCAUCGCUCAACGGAUAAAAGCUACCCUGGGGAUAACAGGCUUAUCUCCCCCAAGAGUCCACAUCGACGGGGAGGUUUGGCACCUCGAUGUCGGCUCAUCACAUCCUGGGGCUGUAGUAGGUCCCAAGGGUUGGGCUGUUCGCCCAUUAAAGUGGUACGCGAGCUGGGUUCAGAACGUCGUGAGACAGUUCGGUCCCUAUCCGUCGCAGGCGUAGGAAAUUUGAGAAGACCUGUCCUUAGUACGAGAGGACCGGGAUGGACGUACCUCUGGUGUACCAGUUGUUCUGCCAAGGGCAUGGCUGGGUAGCUAUGUACGGAAUGGAUAAGCGCUGAAAGCAUCUAAGCGCGAAGCCAACUUCAAGAUAAGAUUUCCCACCGCAAGGGUAAGACUCCAGAAAGACUAUCUGGUUGAUAGGUCGAAGGUGUAAGUGCAGCAAUGUAUUUAGCUUAUCGAUACUAAUAGGUCGAGGACUUGACC